This 468-nucleotide ribosomal RNA is filed under the name uncultured bacterium. RNAcentral describes it as "partial 16S ribosomal RNA". It matches the Rfam family "Bacterial small subunit ribosomal RNA", at positions 28 to 507 of the family's 1533-position model. The record is from RNAcentral.
GACGAACGCUGGCGGUGUGCUUAACACAUGCAAGUCGAACGGUAAGGCCCUUUCGGGGGUACACGAGUGGCGAACGGGUGAGUAACACGUGAGUAACCUGCCCUCAUCUCUGGGAUAACAGUCGGAAACGGUUGCUAAUACUGGAUAUGAGCUUGCAAGGCAUCUUGUGGGUUGGAAAGAUUUUUUUUGGUUGGGGAUGGACUCGCGGCCUAUCAGCUUGUUGGUGAGGUAGUGGCUCACCAAGGCUUCGACGGGUAGCCGGCCUGAGAGGGCGACCGGCCACAUUGGGACUGAGAUGCGGCCCAAACUCCUACGGGAGGCAGCAGUGGGGAAUAUUGCACAAUGGACGGAAGUCUGAUGCAGCAACGCCGCGUGCGGGAUGACGGCCCUCGGGUUGUAAACCGCUUUCAAUUGUGACGAAGCUUUUUUGUGACGGUAGCAGUAGAAGAAGCACCGGCUAACUACGUG